UAUUGCACAAUGGGGGAAACCCUGAUGCAGCGACGCCGCGUGAGUGAAGAAGUAUUUCGGUAUGUAAAGCUCUAUCAGCAGGGAAGAAAAAAGACGGUACCUGACUAAGAAGCCCCGGCUAACUACGUGCCAGCAGCCGCGGUAAUACGUAGGGGGCAAGCGUUAUCCGGAUUUACUGGGUGUAAAGGGAGCGUAGACGGUUAUGCAAGUCUGAAGUGAAAGCCCAAGGCUCAACCAUGGGACUGCUUUGGAAACUGUAAAACUGGAGUGCAGGAGAGGUAAGCGGAAUUCCUAGUGUAGCGGUGAAAUGCGUAGAUAUUAGGAGGAACACCAGUGGCGAAGGCGGCUUACUGGACUGUAACUGACGUUGAGGCUCGAAGGCGUGGGGAGCAAACAGG
This 398-nucleotide ribosomal RNA is filed under the name uncultured bacterium. RNAcentral describes it as "bacterial SSU rRNA". It matches the Rfam family "Bacterial small subunit ribosomal RNA", at positions 362 to 776 of the family's 1533-position model. The record is from RNAcentral.